Molecule: long non-coding RNA, 728 nt
Filed under: Homo sapiens (human)
Lineage: Eukaryota; Metazoa; Chordata; Mammalia; Primates; Hominidae
Description: HSALNT0352582
Source: RNAcentral
CUUUUACCAAGUAUACUGCUGGUAAACAUUUUGUUAACAAGGUGGACACGCCCCCACUGAUAUUCCUUCUAAUUGCAGCGUGGGAGAGGAGGAUAUGACACGCGAUAUCGCAGGGAGUAGAAACACCCCUGUGAUACUGUUCUUAAUAUUCAGGGAGGAAGAGGAUGAUAUUACUCCCAAUACAGACGGGUGUACACCCUCUGUACACCGAGGGUGUACACCUGUCUGUGAAAGAAUGGACACGCCCCCACUGAUAUUGUUUUUAAUGCAGCGUGGGAGGGGAGGAUAUGACACGCGAUAUCGCAGCUGAGUGCCACGUGCUGACGUCACUAAGAUCAAUACAGCAAACUCUGAAAGAUGGACAGAGAGACAGGAGAUGGUCCUUUAUAAUGCAGUGUGAUCUGUGCUGCAAUAGAGUUUUGGAAGCUAGAAGUUCAAAACGAGGUGUUGGCAGCACCAUGCUCUCUCUGAAGAUGCUAGGAAGAAUCUGCUCCAUGCCUUUCCAUUCGCUCCUGGGGUUUCCUGCAAGCCCUGACAUUCCUUGGCUUGUAGAUGCAUCACCCCAGUUUCCGCCCCCAUCAUCACAUGGCCUCCUCUCUGUGUGUGCCUCUGCGUUCCCUCUAUUCUUCUUCUAAGGACACCGACACCAGUCAUAGUGGAUUAAGGGUCCACUCCUAACCAAUUACAUCUGCAACAACCCUAUUUCCAAAUAAAGUCACAUUCUAAGA